UAGCUCUUUAACAAUUUGGAAAGCUGACGAAUAACAACAAUCCCCAUCUCUUUGAGAUGCGUUGUUAUUCAAAUUAAAAGUUCUCAAAUCCUAAUUCUAUGAAUUAGGUACCAACACACAUUCAAGUGUUCUUGGAAACAUCCUUGCGAUGUUUAAUAUUUGAGUCCGGCAAAAUCGUGUCUGCACAUGUAUAAAAAUGCAGACAACUUUGGUUGUUUAAACAGAGACCCUUUGGGGUUGUAUGGUUAAGU
RNAcentral lists this unclassified non-coding RNA (251 nucleotides) under Vibrio tubiashii. Its description in RNAcentral is "partial miscellaneous RNA". Lineage: Bacteria; Pseudomonadati; Pseudomonadota; Gammaproteobacteria; Vibrionales; Vibrionaceae. The record is from RNAcentral.